This 215-nucleotide long non-coding RNA is filed under the name Phoenix dactylifera (date palm). RNAcentral describes it as "long non-coding RNA (PDAC_LNC010388)". The record is from RNAcentral. Lineage: Eukaryota; Viridiplantae; Streptophyta; Magnoliopsida; Arecales; Arecaceae.
GGUCCUGAUUAGAUAAUUAUUUUUGUAUGAGAAAAAAGGUUUGAUUAACCCUUUUUAUUAAGUCACGGUCCUGUUUUUAGUCUUGUCGAGUCCGGUCUGAAGCAGUUUAGCAAGAAUUAAAUUUAAAUGACAUUGGGCUCGAGAACAAGUUCAAGCAAAUCAACGAUCAUGACCCACCUCAAAUCCAAAGCCAAUUCCCAACCAAUUCCUUACCU